CAUAGCAGUUCGUACCUUUUGCAUCAUGGUCCAGCAAGUUCAACCAAGCAAAACGAAAAUUCUAGUUUGACCCCCCGAAACUAAGCGAGCUACUUCAAAACAGCUUAGAGAGCUAACCCGUCUCUGUGGCAAUAGAGUGGGAAGAUUUUCUAGUAGCGGUGACAAACCUACCGAGCUUAGAGAUAGCUGGUUACUCAGGAAAAGAGUCUCAGCUCUGCCUUAAGGACCCCCCCCGCCCCAAACAAACAGGACUUAAGAGUUACUCAAUUAAGGUACAGCUUAUUUGAAACAGGAAACAACCUAAACGACAGGGUAAACUAAAUCUUUAUACCUUUAGUGGGCCUAAAAGCAGCCACCUUAAAAAGCGUCAAAGCUUAAUGUAUAUUUUUCCCAAUCCCCUUAAUAACUACGAACCCCCCACCCCUACUGAGAGAUCCCAUAACCGUAUGGUAAACACUAUGCUAGGACUAGUAACAAGAAUAUAAAAUUCUCCGAAACCUAAACAUAAGCCAGAAAGGACGCCCCACUGGCAGUUAACGAAAAUGAACUAGUUACAAUAACACACCAAGAAAAUCUUGUAGCCCACCCCCGUUAACCUUACACUAGAGCGUUUCCGGAAAGAUUAACAGGGCGAAAAGGAACUCGGCAAAUUUCAACCCCGCCUGUUUACCAAAAACAUCGCUUCUCGACACCCAUGAGAGGUCUAGCCUGCCCAGUGACAAAAUUCAACGGCCGCGGUACCCUAACCGUGCAAAGGUAGCACAAUCACUUGUUCUCUAAAUAAGGACUUGUAUCAACGGCACCACGAGGGUUGCACUGUCUCCUCCCCCCAAUCAGUGAAACUGAUCUCCCCGUGAAAAAGCGAGGAUACAACUAUAAGACGAGAAGACCCCAUGGAGCUUUAAGCCAAACAGCAACUCAGCCUCACAAUUCUCACAAUACGCUGAGACAUGCAUGUCGGCCUUAGGUUGGGGCGACCGCGGAGCAAAAACUAGCCUCCACGACGUAAAGAACCCAAUCUUUAUCCCAGAGCCACCCCUCCAAGAAUUAGUAUACUAACGGACAAUGACCCGACUAUCGAUCAACGAACCAAGUUACCCUGGGGAUAACAGCGCAAUCUACUUCAAGAGCCCCUAUCGACAAGUAGGCUUACGACCUCGAUGUUGGAUCAGGUACCCCA
RNAcentral lists this unclassified non-coding RNA (1180 nucleotides) under Theloderma lateriticum (brick-red bug-eyed frog). Its description in RNAcentral is "partial contains 12S ribosomal RNA, tRNA-Val, and 16S ribosomal RNA". It matches the Rfam family "Bacterial large subunit ribosomal RNA", at positions 590 to 2548 of the family's 2925-position model. The record is from RNAcentral. Lineage: Eukaryota; Metazoa; Chordata; Amphibia; Anura; Rhacophoridae.